ACUCCUUUUGGGAGAAGUUCGAAAUUAAAAAACCAUUUGAUCUGUUCUUAUCAGCUUAACAUCUGAUAGAUCCUCCAUCGGAGGACAACAAAUGUUAAACUGAUUUUUGGAAAUCGACGGAGUGUUUUAGGGGCUUGCUCCACCUCCGUCACGGGUUGUCCCGGUAUUGCAGUACCACCGGGAAUUCAGCCCAAAUUAU
Small nuclear RNA from Bactrocera oleae (olive fruit fly), 199 nucleotides. RefSeq annotates it as U2 spliceosomal RNA. The record is from RefSeq and is a predicted model, not a curated record. NCBI's taxonomy places the organism in Eukaryota, Metazoa, Arthropoda, Insecta, Diptera, Tephritidae.